This 566-nucleotide long non-coding RNA is filed under the name Gallus gallus (chicken). RNAcentral describes it as "lncRNA (ENSGALG00010019835.1)". Lineage: Eukaryota; Metazoa; Chordata; Aves; Galliformes; Phasianidae. The record is from RNAcentral.
CCUGGGUUGAAAAGAACCUCAAAGAUAAUCUAGUUUCAGCUCCCCUGCUAUGUGCACGGUCACCAGCAGUAGACCAGGCUGCCCAGAGCCACAUCCAGCCUGGCCUUGAAUGCCUCCAGGAAUGGGGCAUCCACAACCUCCUUGGGCAACCUGUUCCAGUGCGUCACCACCCUCUAUGUGAAAAACUUCCUCCUAAUAUCUAAGCUAAACCUUCCCUGCCUCAGUUUAAAACCAUUCCCCCUUGUCCUAUCAAUAUCCAUCCUUGUAAACAUGCAUUCCCCCGUAUUUAUGAUAGUAGACAUAUUCAUUACUGUUAGACAGAAGACUUUCCUGCUUUCCUCUCUCUUCUUUUAGGCUAUGGUUCUGGCAUCCUAAAACAGACCACCUAGGGAGCUCUUGUUCCAGGUGUAUUGUGAAAAGUAAUUCCUGGUUUCAGACUUUUCUAUACUUUCUUGUACUUAGAGCUCUUCUUUUUCCUGUACUUAUUUGUCUAACAGAGGUGCCUCCUAAACAAUUACACAUAUGUAAAAUUCAGGCCAGCCCUUCACAGCUCUCUGGAUGGAGAA